Molecule: ribosomal RNA, 357 nt
Filed under: Triticum aestivum (bread wheat)
Lineage: Eukaryota; Viridiplantae; Streptophyta; Magnoliopsida; Poales; Poaceae
Description: partial small subunit ribosomal RNA
Source: RNAcentral
AUGCGAGCGCUCCAAUCGAAUCCCGCCGCACCGUCCGUCCCGCUCGCCGUGGCCGAUGACCGCGUCCCUCCCCAAACGGCGGCGAUGAUGGAGGGAGCCGCCGGAUCCGGCCAGGCUCCCGAGCGGCCGACGCGCCGGGUCGCCGAUCCUCGGGGCCAGCCCCUCCCGCCGCGCCGUCACGCAUCGGCUUGGGGACCCCCCUCGGGGAUGCCGCCUGCGCGGGAGGCGUCCGCGGCGGCGCGGGCUGGGGAGCCAGCGGCGGGGCCCGUGGUGCGCUCCGGUCGGGCCGGCGCGGGAUCUGAGCCGCCGUCGAUGGAUUGCUUUGGAUUCGGCGAGCUCUCGUUGCCGGAUCGCUGA